Molecule: ribosomal RNA, 528 nt
Filed under: Escherichia coli
Lineage: Bacteria; Pseudomonadati; Pseudomonadota; Gammaproteobacteria; Enterobacterales; Enterobacteriaceae
Description: partial 23S ribosomal RNA
Rfam family: Bacterial large subunit ribosomal RNA
Source: RNAcentral
CUCCACCCGAGACUCAGUGAAAUUGAACUCGCUGUGAAGAUGCAGUGUACCCGCGGCAAGACGGAAAGACCCCGUGAACCUUUACUAUAGCUUGACACUGAACACUGGUCCUUGAUGUGUAGGAUAGGUGGGAGGCUUUGAAGUGUGGACGCCAGUCUGCAUGGAGCCAUCCUUGAAAUACCACCCUUUAAUGGCUGGUGUUCUAACGUGGACCCGUAAUCCGGGUUGCGGACAGUGUCUGGUGGGUAGUUUGACUGGGGCGGUCUCCUCCUAAAGAGUAACGGAGGAGCACGAAGGUUAGCUAAUCCUGGUCGGACAUCAGGAGGUUAGUGCAAAGGCAUAAGCUAGCUUGACUGCGAGAGUGACGGCUCGAGCAGGUGCGAAAGCAGGUCUUAGUGAUCCGGUGGUUCUGAAUGGAAGGGCCAUCGCUCAACGGAUAAAAGGUACUCCGGGGAUAACAGGCUGAUACCGCCCAAGAGUUCAUAUCGACGGCGGUGUUUGGCACCUCGAUGUCGGCUCAUCACAUCC